CACGGGGGGAGCAAGCGUUGUUCGGAUUCAUUGGGCGUAAAGAGCUCGUAGGCGGCUCUGUAAGUCGGGGGUGAAAGACCACGGCUCAACCGUGGAAACGCCUUCGAUACUGUGGAGCUUGAGGCCGGGAGAGGAAAGUGGAAUUCCUGGUGUAGCGGUGAAAUGCGUAGAUAUCAGGAGGAACACCAGUGGCGAAGGCGGCUUUCUGGACCGGUUCUGACGCUGAGGAGCGAAAGCCAGGGGAGCAAACAGG
RNAcentral lists this unclassified non-coding RNA (253 nucleotides) under uncultured Latescibacterota bacterium. Its description in RNAcentral is "uncultured Latescibacteria bacterium contains 16S-23S intergenic spacer region". It matches the Rfam family "Bacterial small subunit ribosomal RNA", at positions 524 to 776 of the family's 1533-position model. Lineage: Bacteria; Pseudomonadati; Candidatus Latescibacterota. The record is from RNAcentral.